GACAGAGGGUGCAAACGUUGUUCGGAAUCACUGGGCGUAAAGCGCGUGUAGGCGGCAGUGCAAGUCGGAUGUGAAAUCCCGCGGCUCAACCGUGGAAGUGCACCCGAAACUGCACAGCUUGAGUGUCGGAGAGGAAGGUGGAAUGCUUGGUGUAGAGGUGAAAUUCGUAGAUAUCAAGCGGAACACCGGUGGCGAAGGCGGCCUUCUGGACGACAACUGACGCUGAGACGCGAAAGCGUGGGUAGCAAACAGG
RNAcentral lists this ribosomal RNA (253 nucleotides) under uncultured bacterium. RNAcentral's name for it is "partial 16S ribosomal RNA". It matches the Rfam family "Bacterial small subunit ribosomal RNA", at positions 524 to 776 of the family's 1533-position model. The record is from RNAcentral.